Molecule: ribosomal RNA, 395 nt
Filed under: uncultured bacterium
Lineage: Bacteria
Description: partial 16S ribosomal RNA
Rfam family: Bacterial small subunit ribosomal RNA
Source: RNAcentral
GUAGUCCACGCCGUAAACGAUGGGCACUAGGUGCCUGGGGGAGCGACCCCCCGGGUGCCGGCGCUAACGCAUUAAGUGCCCCGCCUGGGGAGUACGGCCGCAAGGCUGAAACUCAAAGGAAUUGACGGGGGCCCGCACAAGCGGUGGAGCAUGUGGUUUAAUUCGACGCAACGCGAAGAACCUUACCUGGGCUUGACAUGCGCGGGAAAGCCCCCAGAGACGGGGGCCCCUCUUCGGAGUCCGCGCACAGGUGCUGCAUGGCUGUCGUCAGCUCGUGUCGUGAGAUGUUGGGUUAAGUCCCGCAACGAGCGCAACCCCCGCCCCUAGUUACCAGCGGAGCGAGCCUAAUAAGCUCAAGCCGGGGACUCUAGGGGGACUGCCGGUGCCAAACCGGA